AGCUAAUUAGCGCGUAGGCAGCGCUGCGCCGUCUGUUGUACCGUUUUAGAGAGAAUUUGAGUUAAGAGACUAAUCCAAAAAAAAGAAAGUGACCAAUCUUUCUGUGGAGGCGGCGAAGGGAUGGUAAGGCUUUGAAGCCAAGCAAGCAGCUAUUAGAAAGAAGUUGAAGCUAUAACAGCAGAAGGGGAGAAAAGAAAUGACCUAGGAGGUUAAAAAGAAAGUGACCAAUCUUUUUGUGGAGGCGGCGAAGGGAUGGUAAGGCUUUGAAGCCAAGCAAGCAGCUAUUAGAAAGAAGUUGAAGCUAUAACAGCAGAAGGGGAGAAAAGAAAUGACCUAGGAGGUAUCCUAUUUUGAACACAAAUGGUAUCAAACCUC
RNAcentral lists this long non-coding RNA (375 nucleotides) under Nicotiana benthamiana. RNAcentral describes it as "long non-coding RNA (NBEN_LNC004202)". The record is from RNAcentral. Lineage: Eukaryota; Viridiplantae; Streptophyta; Magnoliopsida; Solanales; Solanaceae.